Molecule: non-coding RNA, 225 nt
Organism: Pelobates cultripes (western spadefoot toad)
Lineage: Eukaryota; Metazoa; Chordata; Amphibia; Anura; Pelobatidae
Source: the annotation of a GenBank genome assembly
AUAUCAGGGCACUUGGAUCUAGCUGCCAAAUUAAACUGGGAAUUAGAUGCUACAGUGACCCAUGUCACCAUUUCAGAAGGUUUUUUUUAUUUCAAAAUAGGGCCUGGGGUUGUGAGAUCGGUUGCCCACUGUAUGUCCUAUAUGUCAUUAGAUAUCACUCAGAAGAACAAGAAUAUAUUUUAGUGAGUGCCUAUGGGUGACAACACAGUGGUUGUGGUUCUCCCC